UGCAACUAUAUUGCAAUGCUUCGUAGCUGAUGAGGAGAUGUUUAGUUCUGAUCAAAUGUAUGCGGAAGGAAGUCUCAAAACCUGGGUUGACAA
This 93-nucleotide non-coding RNA is filed under the name Thalassiosira rotula. Lineage: Eukaryota; Bacillariophyta; Thalassiosirophyceae; Thalassiosirales; Thalassiosiraceae. The record is from RNAcentral.